GAUGAACGCUGGCGGCGUGCCUAAUACAUGCAAGUCGAACGCACAGCGAAAGGUGCUUGCACCUUUCAAGUGAGUGGCGAACGGGUGAGUAACACGUGGAUAACCUACCUCAAGGUUGGGGAUAACAUUUGGAAACAGAUGCUAAUACCGAAUAAAACUUCGUAUCGCAUGAUACAAGGUUAAAAGGCGCUACGGCGUCACCUAGAGAUGGAUCCGCGGUGCAUUAGUUAGUUGGUGGGGUAAAGGCCUACCAAGACAAUGAUGCAUAGCCGAGUUGAGAGACUGAUCGGCCACAUUGGGACUGAGACACGGCCCAAACUCCUACGGGAGGCUGCAGUAGGGAAUCUUCCACAAUGGGCGAAAGCCUGAUGGAGCAACGCCGCGUGUGUGAUGAAGGCUUUCGGGUCGUAAAGCACUGUUGUAUGGGAAGAACAGCUAGAGUAGGGAAUGACUUUAGUUUGACGGUACCAUACCAGAAAGGGACGGCUAAAUACGUGCCAGCAGCCGCGGUAAUACGUAUGUCCCGAGCGUUAUCCGGAUUUAUUGGGCGUAAAGCGAGCGCAG
This 564-nucleotide ribosomal RNA is filed under the name uncultured Leuconostoc sp. RNAcentral's name for it is "bacterial SSU rRNA". It matches the Rfam family "Bacterial small subunit ribosomal RNA", at positions 28 to 574 of the family's 1533-position model. Lineage: Bacteria; Bacillati; Bacillota; Bacilli; Lactobacillales; Lactobacillaceae. The record is from RNAcentral.